Molecule: long non-coding RNA, 9749 nt
Filed under: Xyrichtys novacula (pearly razorfish)
Lineage: Eukaryota; Metazoa; Chordata; Actinopteri; Labriformes; Labridae
Source: RNAcentral
UAUCAAAUUUUUCACCAGGCCCGGUCGUCCUGCCAAAUUUCAUGAGUUUUCGCCAGUGGGAAGUGGGCCAUUUUCCAGUUCAAAGGGGAGGAAAAAUAAUAAUAACUAGGGCCCCGUUGGGGCACUGGCGGGCCCGAGCCGUGUCACGCCGCCCCCAGCGCGACCGCCUCCCCCACCCGAUCGCGUCACACUCAAGGUCCAAAGAUGGUGUGUGCACUUGUUUGUGGUCAUUUACCAUUGUAAUGAACGGGAGGCGCAGUUUCUACCAAAACGCUCGCUGCAGAAAAACUCCAUGUCCUAUUUGAAAAAAGUCUGGACCAUGAGUGAGGGCACAAACACAGCUAAGAUAUAUCCAAAUGGCAAGUUGCUCCUCCUUUCGCUUUUGCCGAGAGAGCAGUGCGUUUGAGCCAUUGAAUGAUGAACAGGAAAAACUUGACUUUAUUCUCCUGCCAUGGGGGGGCGCUCUUUUAAAGAGAAAAAACUCCUUCACAAAUGUGUUGAUGGCUGGACAUUGCAUCAUCCUAGAAAACAUGGAGGCCAGUGAGGACAAAAAUAAAAAGUUAUAAGACUUUUAAAUAUGUGGAUUUUAGGGUUAUCUUUGGCGCCCCCUAGAACCUAAACCGUGGGGUGCAGCGUCAUGAUUUGAAUAACUUUUAAUGGCCAUGGGGUGUAGAUUGGCCUGAGCAAAUGUGGUGCCGGUGGAACGAAAGCCUUCGGAGGAAUUAGCGAAAUUCCAAUGUGUGCGAAUCUGCAAAAAAUGCGAAAUAACCCUUCAACCGUACAUUUUACAGAUACGUGGCCAUUGACUUUUUCGAAGAUCUUAUUGAAAUACACGUGUAUGUAAAAUUUUGUGUCAAUACGACAAAACAUACAGGCGUAGCACUCAACAAUGUGUAUUUUCACCUUAGUGGACAAGAAAAAAUUGACUUUUUUCUCCUGCCAUGGGGGGGCGCUCUUUUGCCGAGUAAAAAUUCCUUCACAAAUGUGUUGAUGGCUGGACAUUGCAUCAUCCUAGAAAACUUGGAGGCCAGUGGGGACAAAAAUAAAAAGUUAUAAGACUUUUAAAUAUGUGGAUUUUACGGUUAUCUUUGGCUCCCCCUAGAACCUAAACCGUGGGGUGCAGCGUCAUGAUUUGAAUAACUUUUAAUGGCCAUGGGGUGUAGAUUGGCCUGAGCAAAUGUGGUGCCGGUGGAACGAAAGCCUUCGGAGGAGUUAGCGAAAUUCCAAUGUGUGCGGAUCGGCAAAAAAUGCGGAAUAACCCUUUAACCGUACAUUUGACAGAUACGCGCGCGUUGACUUUUUCGUAGAUCUUAUUGAGAUACAUGUGUGUGUCAAUUUUUGUGUCAUUUUGCCAAAGCGUACAGGUGUUACACUCAACAAUGUGUAUUUUCACCUUAGGGGACAAGAAAAAAUGGACUUUUUUCUCCUGCCAUGGGGGGGCGCUCUUUUGGGGAGUAAAAAUUCCUUCACAAAUGUGUUGAUGGCUGGACAUUGCAUCAUCCUAGAAAACUUGGAGGCCAGUGAGGGCAAAAAUAAAAAGUUAUAAGACUUUUAAAUAUGUGGAUCUUAGGGUUAUCUUUGGCGCCCCCUAGAACCUAAACCGUGGGGUGCAGCGUCAUGAUUUGAAUAACUUUUAAUGGCCAUGGGGUGUAGAUUGGCCUGAGCAAAUGUGGUGCCGGUGGAACGAAAGCCUUCGGAGGAGUUAGCGAAAUUCCAAUGUGUGCGGAUCGGCAAAAAAUGCGAAAUAACCCUUUAACCGUACAUUUGACAGAUACGCCCGCACUGACUUUUUUGUAGAUCUUAUUGAGAUACAUGUGUGUGUCAAUUUUUGUGUCAUUUUGACAAAGCGUACAGGCGUGACAGUCAAUAGUGUGAAUUUUCACCUUAGGGGGCGCUAUGGAGCCAUUUUGCAUUUUCUUGUUUGGGCGACUUCGGAAUAUCAAAUUUUUCACCAGGCCCGGUCGUCCUGCCAAAUUUCAUGAGUUUUCGCCAGUGGGAAGUGGGCCAUUUUCCAGUUCAAAGGGGAGGAAAAAUAACUAGGGCCCCGUUGGGGCACUGGCGGGCCCGAGCCGUGUCGCGCCCCCCCCCCCAACGCGCUGCCUCCCCGUCCCAUUCGCGUCCUCUGGCCAUCGCCCUCUCUGGUAACGCCCAUCACUACAAAGACCCUUUUCCUUCAUCGGCGUUUGCUGUUCUUCCUGCCAGUGCGUGUUGCUUUCACUUACACUUGCCACAGCCAGCCUCGUGAGUGCCUAGCCUAUUGGAUAUCACUGUCACCUACACAGGACAGUCAUUACCUUUCUAUUAAUACUUUGUUUUUUAAUUUCACAUUAAUUUCCAUAUUGUAUAAACGACUGGAAAAAACUUGAGCCCCUGCCCCUGUAUAAUCAUGUACACGUCCCUGUUCUAGCUCCAAGGUGAAUCUUCACUGCUCAUGUUCUCCUCAGAAGCAGUCACCUCACUCCCCUCAGGUUACUGUACACAUGCACCAACUGCCUGCUUCAGGUUUGGAUGGAGCUUCAUGGUUGUCUUUUGGAGAAAUGAGCAGUCAAGUUGUGUUUGAAAUUUGAUUUUUUUUCAGGGGCAAAAGGAAGCCUCUGCAUUCUUGUCAAAUAUGUAAAUAGCAUGUUUUUGCAGGUGCUAAAAACCAGACUCUGAGUGUGCGUGUGUGUGUGUGUCUGUGUGUGUGUGUGUGUGUGUGUGUGUGUGUGUGCGUUCAAGUCACAUGACAUAUUUAACCGGAUGUAGCUGCAAGACGGUGUGUGUGUGCGUGUGUGUGUGUGUCUGUGUGUGUGUGUGUGUGUGUGUGUGUGUGUGUGCGUUCAAGUCACAUGACAUAUUUAACCGGAUGUAGCUGCAAGACGGAGCCUCGUUGACUCUCCGUUUCAACUUAUCUCAAAAGUGAGGACCUCAACCUAUAUACCAGUUUUUAAAUUGUGUUGAUAGGCCAAAUAAAACCAGAGUUAUGAUAAAUUAUGUCCGCGAUACUUGUUUUCUGCUUAUUUUGAUCACGUUCGGCGCUCGAUCGCGCUGUAUGAGACAGGAAAACAUAGCAUGCAGACAUUAGCGACAGGUCUUACAGGCGGAAAAGGCUUGCCAAAGGAAAAGAAAAAAACACACCACAACAUCUCUCCUAUUGGUGGAAAACUUCACCACAACAACCAAUCCAAAAUUAUAUGGUGACUGAUUGACAAGGGGCGGGCGCUUACGUUCUUCCUGCAAUAUGAGAAGGGAGGGAGGGACUCUCAGCAGGGAUGCAGUCUGGGACACGUAGUUGCAAACCUAGCGACUUUGUUGUUAGAUUCAAUGACUUUUCAGACCCCCUAACGACUUUUUUUUUAGAAAGAAAGUGACUUUUAUCGACUUCUGGAGUUUAGAGACUCUGACAUGAAGCAGGCUUUCCUUACUGAGGAGUUAGCAACGCUGCUAAGGGUGCAGAGCCACACAUGCGCUCCGAGCUCUGCAUGGGAGACUGAAGCUGACAGAGCUGCAGCAGUUAGCAGGUUUCACCCUCAGAGACCACCAGGGGUUCAUGUUGAGGCAUUUUCAGUUUUUUUUUUUUUUUUUUGCCACAGACACUGUCAGCACAAUCUGCAGUUACACUAACAAAAAUGCUGCAAAAAACAAAGAAUUAUGGAAAAAUUACACAUGGACUAACAUAGAGGAGGAUCUACACAAGUUUUUUACAUCAUGUUUUACAUCAUGCAUCAUUUACAUCAUGUUUUUUUGUAGUGGCAUAAAUAAAAAGUGACAUUUGUGAGACUAUACAGUGUUUUGUAAAUAAUUUUACAAAGAACGCCUGGGCCAUUGCCUGCAUUUUGAUGUCAAUAGAGGUAAAUUACUAUGUUCUUUGUUAAAAAUUUGCAUAUGUUUUGAAGUUUACAAUUUUUAUUUGAAGUUUAAGUUUUAAAAACAGUUCAUCACACAUAUUUGUGGUUUUCACAGUAAAAACGUUACUUUUUUCCACUCGGAUUUUAUGUUUUGUGUGUGAAUUUGGGUCCAAUGUGUAAAUAUAGUAUGUCAAAAUGAUAAAAUAACUGUAAAUUGACACAGGUGAGGUUGUGCUGAAAAAAAUGAUACCAGGCAAGGCAAGGUAAAAAUUUUGUAAGAGGAAAUAUAAAGGUAAAAUCUAAAGUAGUCAAAAACGGCCAAUAGUGACUCACAGACUCCACAGACAAGUCCCUUUGGCGCCACUCAGUGGGCAAAACUACUUUGUCUACUGUAAUGUAUAUUUGGGUCAUCUUUGGCGCCCCCUAAAACGUAAACCGUGGGGUGCAGCGUCAUGAUUUUUACAACUUUGAAUGGCCAUGGAGUGUAGAUUGGCCUGAGCAAAUUUGGUGUCAGUGGGACGAAAGCCUUAGGAGGAGUUAGCGAAAUUCCAAUGUGUGCGAAUCGGCAAAAAAUGCAAAAUAGCCCUUUUACCGUACAUUAUACAGAUACGCGCUCUUUGACUUUUUCGUAGAUCUAAUUGAGAUACACAUGAUUGUCAAUUUUUGUGUCAUUUUGCCAAAGCGUACAGGCGUGACAGUCAACAAUGUGUAUUUUCACCUUAGGGGACAAGAAAAAAUGGACUUUUUUCUCCUGCCAUGGGGGGGCGCUCUUUUAGGGAGUAAAAAUUCCUUCACAAAUGUGUUGAUGGCUGGACAUUGCAUCAUCCUAGAAAACUUGGAGGCCAGUGAGGACAAAAAUAAAAAGUUAUAAGACUUUUAAAAAUGUGGAUUUUUGGGUUAUCUUUGGCGCCCCCUAGAACGUAAACCGUGGGAUGCAGCGUCAUGAUUUGAAUAACUUUUAAUGGCCAUGGGGUGUAAUUUGGCCUGAGCAAAUGUGGUGCCGGUGGAACGAAAGCCUUCGGAGGAGUUAGCGAAAUUCCAAUGUGUGCGAAUCGGCAAAAAAUGCGGAAUAACCCUUUAACCGUACAUUAGACAGAUACGCGCGCAUUGACUUUUUUGUAGAUCUUAUUGAGAUACAUGUGUGUGUCAAUUUUUGUGUCAUUUUGACAAAGCGUACAGGCGUGACACUCAACAAUGUGUAUUUUCACCUUAGGGGACAAGAAAAAAUGGACUUUUUUCUCCUGCCAUGGGGGGGCGCUCUUUUGGGGAGUAAAAAUUCCUUCACAAAUGUGUUGAUGGCUGGACAUUGCAUCAUCCUAGAAAACUUGGAGGCCAGUGAGGGCAAAAAUAAAAAGUUAUAAGACUUUUAAAAAUGUGGAUUUUAGGGUUAUCUUUGGCGCCCCCUAGAACCUAAACCGUGGGGUGCAGCGUCAUGAUUUGAAUAACUUUUAAUGGCCAUGGGGUGUAGAUUGGCCUGAGCAAAUGUGGUGCCGGUGGAACGAAAGCCUUCGGAGGAGUUAGCGAAAUUCCAAUGUGUGCGGAUCGGCAAAAAAUGCAAAAUAACCCUUUAACCGUACAUUUGACAGAUACGCCCGCACUGACUUUUUUGUAGAUCUUAUUGAGAUACAUGUGUGUGUCAAUUUUUGUGUCAUUUUGACAAAGCGUACAGGCGUGACAGUCAAUAGUGUGAAUUUUCACCUUAGGGGGCGCUAUGGAGCCAUUUUGCAUUUUCUUGUUUGGGCGACUUCGGAAUAUCAAAUUUUUCACCAGGCCCGGUCGUCCUGCCAAAUUUCCUGAGUUUUCGCCAGUGGGAAGUGGGCCAUUUUCCAGUUCAAAGGGGAGGAAAAAGAAAAAAGAAACAAAGAAAAACCACUUGGGGAAUAAUAGGGCUCUCGCAGCUGCUUAGCAGCUACGCUCGGGCCCUAAUAACUAGGACCCCGUUGGGGCACUGGCGGGCCCGAGCCGUGUCGCGUCCCCCCCCCCCCCCCCCCCCAACGUGCUGCCUCCCCGUCCCAUUUGUGUCCUCUGGCCAUCGCCCUCUCUGGUAACGCCCAUCACUGCAAAGACCCUUUUCCUUCAUCGGCGUUUGCUGUUCUUCCUGCCAGUGCGUGUUGCUUUCACUUACACUUGCCACAGCCAGCCUCGUGAGUGCCUAGCCUAUUGGAUAUCACUGUCACCUACACAGGACAGUCAUUACCUUUCUAUUAAUACUUUGUGUUUUAAUUUCACAUUAAUUUCCAUAUUGUAUAAACGACUGGAAAAAACUUGAGCCCCUGCCCCUGUAUAAUCAUGUGCAUGUCUCUGUUCUAGCUCCAAGGUGAAUCUUCACUGCUCAUGUUCUCCUCAGAAGCACUCACCUCACUCCCCUCAGGUUACUGUACACAUGCACCAACUGCCUGCUUCAGGUUUGGAUGGAGCUUCAUGGUUGUCUUUUGGAGAAAUGACCAGUCAAGUUGUGUUUGAAAUUUGAUUUUUUUCAGGGGCAAAAGGAGCCUCUGCAUUCUUGUCAAAUAUGUAAAUAGCAUGUUUUUGCAGGUGCUAAAAACCAGACUCUGAGUGUGUGUGUGUGUGUGUGUGUGUGUGUGUGUGUGUGUGUGUGUGUGUGUGCGUGCGUGUGCGUGUGUGUGUGUCUGUGUGUGCGUUCAAGUCACAUGACAUAUUUAACCGGAUGUAGCUGCAAGACGGAGCCUCGUUGACUCUCCGUUUCAACUUAUCUCAAAAGUGAGGACCUCAACCUAUAUACCAGUUUUUAAAUUGUGUUGAUAGGCCAAAUAAAACCAGAGUUAUGAUAAAUUAUGUCCGCGAUAUUUUUUUUCUGCUUAUUUUGAUCACGUUCGGCGCUCGAUCGCGCUGUAUGAGACAGGAAAACAUAGCAUGCAGACAUUAGCGACAGUUCUUACAGGCGGAAAAGGCUUGCCAAAAGAAAAAAAAAACACACCACAACAUCUCUCCUAUUGGUGGAAAACUUCACCACAACAACCAAUCCAAAAUUAUAUGGUGACUGAUUGACAAGGGGGGCGCUUACGUUCUUCCUGCAACAUGAGAAGGGAGGGAGGGACUCUCAGCAGGGAUGCAGUCUGGGACACGUAGUUGCAAACCUAGCGACUUUGUUGUUAGAUUCAAUGACUUUUCAGACCCCCUAACGACUUUUUUUUAGAAAGAAAGGGACUUUUAUCGACUUCUUCUGGAGUUUAGAGACUCUGACAUGAAGCAGGCUUUCCAUACUGAGGAGUUAGCAACGCUGCUAAGGGUGCAGAGCCACACAUGCGCUCAGAGCUCUGCAUGGGAGACUGAAGCUGACAGAGCUGCAGCAGUUAGCAGGUUUCACCCUCAGAGACCACCACGGGUUCAUGUUGAGGCAUUAAAAAUUUUUUUUUUUUUGUGCCAUAGACACUGUCAGCACAAUCUGCAGUUACACUAACAAAAAUGCUGCAAAAAACAAAGAAUUAUGGAAAAAUUACACAUGGACUGACAUAGAGGAGGAUCUACACAAGUUUUUUACAUCAUGUUUUACAUCAUGCAUCAUUUACAUCAUGUUUUUUUGUAGUGGCAUAAAUAAAAAGUGACAUUUGUGAGACUAUACAGUGUUUUGUAAAUAAUUUUACAAAGAACGCCUGGGCCAUUGCCUGCAUUUUGAUGUAAAUAGAGGUAAAUUACUAUGUUCUUUGUUAAAAAUUUGCAUAUGUUUUGAAGUUUACAAUUUUUAUUUGAAGUUUAAGUUUUAAAAACAGUUCAUCACACAUAUUUGUGGUUUAAUUUCACAUUAAUUUCCAUAUUGUAUAAAUGACUGGAAAAAACUUGAGCCCCUGCCCCUGUAUAAUCAUGUGCACGUCCCUGUUCUAGCUCCAAGGUGAAUCUUCACUGCUCAUGUUCUCCUCAGAAAUAGUCACCUCACUCCCCUCAGGUUACUGUACACAUGCACCAACUAUCUGCUUCAGGUUUAAAAUGGAGCUUCAUGGUUGUCUUUUGGAGAAAUGAACAGUCAAGUUGUGUUUGAAAUUUGAUUUUUUUCAGGGGCAAAAGGAGCCUCUGCAUUCUUGUCAAAUAUGUAAACAGCAUGUUUUUGCAGGUGCUAAAAACCAGACUCUGAGUGUGGGUGUGUGUCUGUGUGUGUGUGUGUGUGUGUGUGUGUGUGUGUGUGUGUGUGUAUGUUGGCGUGUGUGUAUAUGUGUGUGUAUCCUGCAGUACUCUGUACUCCUGCAGUGGCCAAAAAGACUUUUAAGAAUGUGGAUUUUUGGGUCAUCUUUGGCGCCCCCUAGAACUGCAGUACUCUGUACUCCUGCAGUGGCCAAAAUGACUUUUAAGAAUGUGGAUUUUUGGGUCAUCUUUGGCGCCCCCUAGAACGUAAACCGUGGGGUGCAGCGUCAUGAUUUUUACAACUUUGAAUGGGCAUGGGGUGUAGAUUGCCCUGAGCAAAUUUGGUAUCGGUGGGACGAAAGCCUUAGGAGGAGAUAGCCACAUUCCAAUGUGUGCGAAUCGGCAAAAAAUGCAAAAUAGCCCUUUAACCGUACAUUAUACAGAUACGCGCUCUUUGACUUUUUCGUAGAUCUAAUUGAGAUACACAUGAUUGUCAAUUUUUGUGUCAAUAUGACAAAGCGUUCAGGCGUGACACUCAACAAUGUGUAUUUUUAUGUAAGGGGACAAGAAAAAAUUGACUUUUUUCUCCUACCAUGGGGGGGCGCUCUUUUGGGGAGUAAAAAUUCCUUCACAAAUGUGUUGAUGGCUGGACAUUGCAUCAUCCUAGAAAACUUGGAGGCCAGUGAGGACAAAAAUAAAAAGUUAUAAAACAUUUAAGAAUGUGGAUUUUUGGGUUAUUUUUGGCGCCCCCUAGAACCUAAACCAUGGGGUGCAGCAUCAUGAUUUGAAUAACUUUUAAUGGCCAUGGGGUGUAGAUUGGCCUGAGCAAAUGUGGUGCCGGUGGAACGAAAGCCUUCGGAGGAGUUAGCGAAAUUCCAAUGUGUGCGUAUCGGCAAAAAAUGCGGAAUAACCCUUUAACUGUACAUUUGACAGAUACGCGCGCAUGGACUUUUUUGUAGAUCUUAUUGAGUUACAUGUGUGUGUCAAUUUUUGUGUCAUUUUGACAAAGCGUAUAGGCUUGACACUCAACAAUGUGUAUUUUCACCUUAGGGGACAAGAAAAAAUGGACUUUUUUCUCCUGCCAUGGGGGGCGCUCUUUUGGGGAGUAAAAAUUCCUUCACAAAUGUGUUGAUGGCUGGACAUUGCAUCAUCCUAGAAAACUUGGAGGCCAGUGAGGACAAAAAUAAAAAGUUAUAAGACUUUUAAAUAUGUGGAUUUUAGUGUUAUCUUUGGCGCCCCCUAGAAUCUAAACCUUGGGGUGCAGCGUCAUGAUUUUGAUAACUUUUAAUGGCCACGGGGUGUAGAUUGGCCUGAGCAAAUGUGGUGCCGGUGGAACGAAAGCCUUCGGAGGAGUUAGCGAAAUUCCAAUGUGUGCGGAUCGGCAAAAAAUGCGAAAUAACCCUUUAACCGUAAUUUUGACAGAUACGGCCGCACUGACUUUUUUGUAGAUCUUAUUGAGAUACAUAUGUGUGUCAAUUUUUGUGUCAAUAUGACAAAGCGUACAGGCGUGACAGUCAAUAGUGUGAAUUUCCACCUUAGGGGGCGCUAUGGAGCCAUUUUGCAUUUUAUUGUUUGGGCGACUUCAGAAUAUCGAAUUUUUCACCAGGCCCGGUCGUCCUGCCAAAUUUCAUGAGUUUUCGCCAGUGGGAAGUGGGCCAUUUUCCAGUUCAAAGGGGAGGAAAAAGAAGAAAGAAAGAAACAAAGACUAGGGCCCCGUUGGGGCACUGGCGGGCCCGAGCCGUGUCACGCCGCCCCCAGCGCGACCGCCUCCCCCACCAGAUCGCGUCACACUCAAGGUCCAAAGAUGGUGUGCGCACUUGUUUGUGGUCAUUUACCAUUAUAAUG